Non-coding RNA from Drosophila melanogaster (fruit fly), 1586 nucleotides. NCBI's taxonomy places the organism in Eukaryota, Metazoa, Arthropoda, Insecta, Diptera, Drosophilidae. The record is from Ensembl.
AGUGAAUUUUGGAGGGUCAAGAAAUACUUUGCAUAUAAAAAGCAUGGUUGAUUUACCAUUUGUUUAGAUUUAAAAUUUCAAAUUAAAUGUUUUAAAAAACACAAGUAUUCAACCCACCACACCAUUCGUUUCACCUGUUCCUUGAUCCUGCCCAGCUUUUUAAUGCGUAUACCCUUUCUUUCGCAAAAUCUUGCCUUCAGCACAUUCCCCUCCAAAUACCCUUCCUAACCAGGCUACUCAAAGUUCUCCACUCCACCGUUGUUGAAGCGUUCGCACCAGGCGAGUAAUUCCCGCACUUCCCGAGCGUAGAGUUGUUCCUGGGACUGCAGAUCACUCUGGGACUGCGACUGCGACUGGGAUUUGGACUGAGACUGGCCCAAGGAUGAACCAGGGAGCAAAGGUCAGACAUUGUGGCCAGCUGGCUGGCUGCUGGUGCCGCUACCCGAGUUGCUGAGGAGGCUCCGUUCGCUGGCCACGCUUCCCGGAGCGUAGAUCAACUCGCUGGGUUCCUUGAUGCAUUCCUGGCCGUUCUUCCGACUGCUCCGCGUGCUCUGAUUCCGCCAGGACUGCAGGUGACCUUCCGCCGGAUGCUGUGGGACCAGGGGAAUCAGCUGCUGCUGCUGCUGUGGAGGCUGCUGCUCGUCCACCUUGACGUACAGUCGUUCCAUGUCGUCCAGAUCCCCAUCCGCCGUGUGGUACAGCGCGUGCUCGUCCUCGUGCGACAUCAGCAUGGCCAUCGGGGAGGGAGAUCCACCGCAGCCCGAGUCUGCCAGACCGUUGUAGCACAUCGAGGAGCCGUCGAGAUCCAGGAGAUUCUGCUGGUUCUUGCCCUGAUCCGUGUUUAGCACCUUGAAGCGGGCACUUUCCCUGCCGAUGCUGCAGUUGGGCGGCAGCUGCUGCCGCCUCACGCUGGCGAACUGCGAGGAUAUCGGCGAGGACUGCUUGGCGCCAGGAGCCGCCUCAUAGGUGUGGCAGUUGCUCAGCUUGUUCUCGGUGAUGUGGAUGUGUCUCUGCUUGUCCUUGGGGUAGUAAUACUGCUCAGAGUAGACAGAGCGCGAAGGACCCGUGUUCGUGGGGUAUAUCUCGCUGGUGGUGGACAUCUGCUGGUAGAUGUUGCUGGGUGGCAGUUGCUGGUGCUGCUGGAGAGCCUGGUGUUGCUGGUGCGUCUGCUGCGCCUGUUGCUGCUGAUGCUGCUGCUGCUGGUAGUGUGGGUGCAUUGGGCGCUGGAGCCCAUAGCCGGGCACUGGUCGCUGUUGAUAACGCGGCUGCUGCUGCUGUUGCUGCUGGUGGGGACUCAGGAUCGAAGAGGUGGCAUAAGGGGCCGGGGAGGCGUUGCCAUGCCGACCAUACUCGCUGGGUGCCUUGCCAAAACUGGACACCUCUGCAUAGUCGGUCGGUAUGUUGGAGUACUCGCCCACGUACCUGCAAUGAACAGAUAAAAACAAACAGAGUUGAAACACAGAAUACUCGGUUAUUACUUGGCUUGUUUAUUACAAUAUUCCUCUGACCCACUGGCUCCAUGGCCCCGUGCGCCCCCUGCUUCCGACCAUUUCGGUUAUAAAUUCGUGCAAUUUAUGGCGCGGCGC